This is a long non-coding RNA of Ictidomys tridecemlineatus (thirteen-lined ground squirrel), 507 nucleotides long. RefSeq lists it as uncharacterized. NCBI's taxonomy places the organism in Eukaryota, Metazoa, Chordata, Mammalia, Rodentia, Sciuridae. The record is from RefSeq and is a predicted model, not a curated record.
AACGCCUGGAUCACCUCCGCCAGGACCACUACGCACAAGAUGCAGCCCAGGGAGGCGUCCCGGGGUAGCGCCGGGACAUGGCCGGCAGGCCCAGCAGAAAGCGCAGGGAAGAGGGCGGGGAAUUAGUGAAUCGAGAACGUGACUAAGGAAGAAGUGAUGCAUAGCAGAGAAAUGAGAGACUGAGAUCAACUGUGACCUUGUCUUCUUCACAAAUAAAGAUGGAAAGCAGGGGGUUCCUCCCCUAGGACCCUACUGCCCUACUGCCCAUCCCAUGCUGGCCUAGCCCUUCUUCCCUGACUCGUGGUCUAUGAACACCACACAGUACCUGUAGUAGUCCUCCUGGGCAGGUAGCGGCACACUGUGCAGCGGGUGAUGGGCAUGCAGCCACUGCUGCUGUUCCAGCGCCAAGCGCUGCAGCUCAGCAGACUGCGCGUGCAUGGCCUGCAGCUGAUGAGCUGCAGACAUCGGGGCAGAGAGGGAGGCUGGCAGGUCCCGGUAAGGGGCAGC